This 500-nucleotide ribosomal RNA is filed under the name Veillonella parvula. RNAcentral describes it as "bacterial SSU rRNA". It matches the Rfam family "Bacterial small subunit ribosomal RNA", at positions 28 to 496 of the family's 1533-position model. Lineage: Bacteria; Bacillati; Bacillota; Negativicutes; Veillonellales; Veillonellaceae. The record is from RNAcentral.
GACGAACGCUGCGGGCGUGCUUUACCACAUGCAAGUCGAACGAAGAGCGAUGAAAGCUUUGCUUCUAUCAUUCUUAGUGGCGAACGGGUGAGUAACGCGUAAUCAACCUGCCCUUCAGAGGGGGACAACAGUUGAAACGACUGCUAAUACCGCAUACGAUCUGACCUCGGCAUCGAGGAUAGAUGAAAGGUGGCCUCUACAUGUAAGCUAUCACUGAAGGAGGGGAUUGCGUCUGAUUAGCUAGUUGGAGGGGUAACGGCCCACCAAGGCGAUGAUCAGUAGCCGGUCUGAGAGGAUGAACGGCCACAUUGGGACUGAGACACGGCCCAGACUCCUACGGGAGGCAGCAGUGGGGAAUCUUCCGCAAUGGACGAAAGUCUGACGGAGCAACGCCGCGUGAGUGAUGACGGCCUUCGGGUUGUAAAGCUCUGUUAAUCGGGACGAAAGGCCUUUUUGCGAAUAGUGAGAAGGAUUGACGGUACCGGAAUAGAAAGCCACGG